Molecule: ribosomal RNA, 484 nt
Filed under: uncultured bacterium
Lineage: Bacteria
Description: partial 16S ribosomal RNA
Rfam family: Bacterial small subunit ribosomal RNA
Source: RNAcentral
AGUGAACGCUGGCGGCAGGCCUAACACAUGCAAGUCGAACGGCAGCACAGUAAUAGCUCGCUCUUACGGGUGGCGAGUGGCGGACGAGUCCUGGAUACAUCCGUAUCUACUUGUUCGAGCGGGAUAACGCAGGGGCACUUACGCCAAUCGUGCAUACGGCCAACGUGUGGAAUCAGCGGAUCUUACGCCAUUGCGCGAGCCAAGGUCGGAUUAGCUAGUUGGUGGGGUAAAGGCCUACCAAGGCGACGAUCCGUAGCUGGUCUGAGAGGAUGAUCAGCCACACUGGAACUGAGACACGGUCCAGACUCCUACGGGAGGCAGCAGUGGGGAAUAUUGGACAAUGGGCGAAAGCCUGAUCCAGCCAUGCCGCGUGGGUGAAGAAGGUCUUCGGGUUGUAAAGCCCUUUUAUUGGGGAAGAAAAGCAGCAGGUUAAUACCUCGCUGUUUUGACGGUACCAAAAGAAUAAGCACCGGCUAACUUCGUG